GGGGAAUUGUUCGCAAUGGGCGCAAGCCUGACGACGCAACGCCGCGUGGAGGACGAAGAUCUUCGGGUCGUAAACUCCUGUCGAGCGGGACGAACACCCAUCCGGUGAAUAUCCGGAAGGGCUGACGGUACCGCUAAAGGAAGCCCCGGCUAACUUCGUGCCAGCAGCCGCGGUAAUACGAAGGGGGCGAGCGUUGUUCGGAAUUACUGGGCGUAAAGGGCGCGUAGGCGGCGACCCAAGUCAGAUGUGAAAGUCCUGGGCUUAACCUGGGGACUGCAUUUGAUACUGGGUUGCUUGAAUUCGGGAGAGGAUAGCGGAAUUCCCAGUGUAGAGGUGAAAUUCGUAGAUAUUGGGAAGAACACCGGUGGCGAAGGCGGCUAUCUGGACCGACAUUGACGCUGAGGCGCGAAAGCGUGGGGAGCAAA
RNAcentral lists this ribosomal RNA (425 nucleotides) under uncultured bacterium. Its description in RNAcentral is "bacterial SSU rRNA". It matches the Rfam family "Bacterial small subunit ribosomal RNA", at positions 356 to 772 of the family's 1533-position model. The record is from RNAcentral.